Molecule: long non-coding RNA, 1590 nt
Organism: Mya arenaria
Lineage: Eukaryota; Metazoa; Mollusca; Bivalvia; Myida; Myidae
Exons: 4
Source: RefSeq, a predicted model, not a curated record
GACUGAUACAAUUUAUCAUGCUGGCGUUGUUAAGGACAUUAAACCUGUUAAAACAACAUCCAUAUAGCAUGAAUCCUUUGAGACAGCAAUACCUUAGAGACAAAGUAAGAUGUGUUGUGUUGUAUUAUGACUUCAUUGAACCAAUUCAGAGCAAUAAAAGUUCAUAAUAUGUUCUUGUGCCGAUACUAAAUAGGACAUACAGAAUGUGCACAUAUUAUUGUAAAAUAAAUAAUGUGACCAAACGGAUAUCUAUAUCGAGAAUCGAUAAUUGCAUAAACAAAAUGGUAAAAGCGAAAUAUGUGACAAAAUUUGAUUUUCUCAAAGGAUUGUUUUCCAAUACCAGAACGAGUUAAGAAGAUACAGCCUUUGAGACACCUAAUGGCCUUUACCUGUACAAGGUUUUGCCAUUAAGGGUGAAGAAUUCGCCGGCUACAUUUCAACGGCUUGUGAAUCAGGGUUUUCUUCUAUCAACUCACAGAUGCCAAGAUGACCAUCAAAUUUGCAAAAAAUGACAUGCUGAUUGAGUGAAAAGUAUAAAGCAGGGGCUUGAUGUAGCCGCAGUCAAGGAGGUUUCACCGACCAGACACAUCACCAUAAUGUAUCAAUGGCUGUUAGUUUGCGCUCGAGACGCAGUCAAUGCAGUUUCUGCCCGUGUUAAACGGCCACCAUGCAAUGGUAAGAGUAACGGUGGCUACGGAGGCGAGUACGGCACUGGCGCCUGUGGAUAGGGAAUGAGUCGCGGAUACGGAGGUGGUAGACACGGUGUGGCGGAUACGGCGGUGGAUAGGAUGCUGGCAGGUACGGAGUCGGAUAUGGAGGUGGCGCUGGUUGAUACGGCUUUGGAUGACACAGUGUCGGAUACGGUGGUGUCAUGUCCAGUGGUUAUCGGGGCGGUAUGGAAUGAGUGAUCCUGACACUUCAAGGAUUUCUCCUGAUGACGUCAUUGUACAUUGUACAUUUAGUGUAUUUAUUUCAAUUUAAGACUUAUAAAAUAUUAAUACAUGUUUAAUCAUUAUUGCUGCUCAAUGAUUAUGAUUUAUUAUCGUUUUAUAUCGUUAUGGAAUUUUCAGGGACAAGCCCAGUACCCAACGACCCUGUUUAAAUACACAGAACUAAUGCCUAACAUACACUGAACGAGAGAGAACCAAACGACAAAAAUUACCAAACAAUGCAAAUAUACCACACAAGCAUCAACACAUAAUUAACAUUAUACACCGCCCUGGAACGGUCACCGAUACAGGUGUUCAUUGGGGGGCUUUAAAGUCCCAUUAUGUUUUAGUAAUGUAAACUUAUUUGUUUGUAUGUAUAUCCACAUCGCUUAGGUAAGAAAUCGUCAAAACGUCACAUCCGUAUAAACAAAAUGGCGGCGUUAUAGAAUUUCGCUAGCAACUAAAAAGCAAAAUCGGCCAAUUUGGUUAAUAAAAUGCCAAUAACACACAAACCAUGCACGAAAACAAGCAUUUUAACUAUUGGAGAUAUGUUUUCUCUGCACAAAUGUAAGUUUGACGUUGACAAACGAAUACAUUCUUUAGAAAUCGUCAAUAUGUGUGACUGUACCAUUCUGAAAAGUUCUGAAACUCAUAAUGCUCU